RNAcentral lists this ribosomal RNA (301 nucleotides) under uncultured bacterium. RNAcentral's name for it is "partial 16S ribosomal RNA". It matches the Rfam family "Bacterial small subunit ribosomal RNA", at positions 509 to 807 of the family's 1533-position model. The record is from RNAcentral.
CAGCCGCCGCGGGAAUACGAAGGGUGCAAGCGUUACUCGGAAUUACUGGGCGUAAAGCGUGCGUAGGUGGUGGUUUAAGUCCGUUGUGAAAGCCCUGGGCUCAACCUGGGAACUGCAUUUGAAACUGGCAAGCUAGAGUAUGGCAGAGGGGGGUGGAAUUCCGCGUGUAGCAGUGAAAUGCGUAGAUAUGCGGAGGAACACCGAUGGCGAAGGCAGCCCCCUGGGCCAAUACUGACGCUCAUGCACGGAAGCGUGGGGAGCAAACAGGAUUAGAUACCCCGGUAGUCCCUGUCUCUUAUAC